GCAAGUCACAUGCCCUUCUCUGCAAGUGAGUCUAAUUUCCCUCUCACAAGGACACCUGUCCUUGCAGCGAGGGCCCACCCAUCCAAGACCCAAGGCCUCCUCUGAACUUGAUUGCAUCUGCCAAGACCCUAUUCCCACAAGACCACGGUCACAAUGUCCCAUCCGCAUGGAUUUGGGGACACAGAACACACCUCAGAAGAGGUAUCACACGGCACACGGAGCCCCGGGGUGGAGUGGAAACACCAGUCUCAGAACAGCAAGCUGGGCAGAAAUUUCCCAUAAAUACUGGUAAAUGCAGGCCCAGGCACAAGGACACAUUUCCCUGUGGGUGUGUUCUCUCCCCCGUCAGUGCACUCACAUGUGACAAGAUGCACGCCUGCGACAAGCACGGCCCCUUCUGAGCAGGGCAUGCAGAGGCCUCUGCACCAGGACCUGCAGGGCCCUCCUGUCAGAAGUGAGAGCGCAUCUCUGCACUCACCUACUCAAUGCAGCUUUCUGACAGUGGACACAUUGCAGCCUCCCGCCACCAGGGGGCGGACCGCCGCCCCUCGCAGUGCUCUGCCCUCUCCGCACCGCCCGGAAGUCCCGCCUCUGCCGGAAGUCAGCAAGGUUUGUCCAGUAGACAGCAGAGUCCAGGGAUGCAGGACUAUCUGGCCUGAGUGGCUACUGGCAGCGCGGGGCCGGGCAGCCUCAGGGGACCUGGGCCUGGAGCGGCUGACCCUGCGGGGAGGAGCCCGGCAGGCGGCCUCGGAGGGCAGCCCCGCGGGGGACGUGCUCCUGCGGGGAGUCGGUCAGCUUCUGCGGGGAAGAUGGGACGUGGGGGCCACGGGGCGCGGGGCGCGGGCUGGGGGCCGGCCCCGCUCAGGCUCCCGGUCCUCCGGGCGUCGGCCUCCCCGCGCUGCCUGCACCAGCGGCUCCGGGCGGCGCCUUCCGAAUCAGGGUUUGUUUCUGAGAAAGACGCCCCCUCCCAGGCCGCCCUCCCGCCCGCCCUGCAGAGGGCGCGGGAGCCCGCGUUGCCUCUGCCCUGUGUGGCCCCCGCUUGGGGCGCUGCCCCAGGACUUCCCGGGCCCAAGUCCUCCGGUGUCGGUCCGGGACCCUCCUCUGCCACAGGGUCCAGCUCAGACAGAAUGUCCCCGACCCCCGGCAGCAGGUCAGGCGUCCGCUGGACGGGGCACCGGAGGUCGUUGUCCGCUUCCCCUGUCAGCCUUUCCCGCGACGGGAAGGACGCGCUGCGGGGCCUCAUCACGGUGCCUCGGGCUCAGAGCGAGGAGCUCUCCGCACGCGCGUCCAUGAGGCUCCAGGUCUGCGGUGACAGCAGCGUCCGCGUGGGGCCCAGAGUGGGUCAGGCCCCUGGGGUGCGCCCCGGAGCUGCUCUCGAGUCAUUUAUCCAUCAGGCACCAGGUCUCUGCAGAUCUGCCUGCAAGUCCCAUCGGAACCAAUGUGCGAGCUUAACAACUUCAGCACCAUGAACGGCAUUGCUCGUUUUAAAUGCUCCACUAAUGAUAGUUUAUAUUGAAGACAUCAAAUACGUCCAGAAUUUCAGUAAAGAAUUUAAUAAGAGAACGGUAUUGUUGGUUUUAGCCCAAUAUUAAACAUGAGUGGACCAAAGAAAAGGAAAGUGGACAGUGAAUGCCGAGUGUUUAAGAGGGAGUGGACAACAAAAUAUUUUUUCACUGAAGUCUGAUCAAUGCCGGUAUGUCUGAUAUGCCAGGAAACACUUGCAGUCUUCAAAGAGUACAAUCUCAGCCAUCACUUUGCCACAAAGCAUGGCAACUAUGCUAGCAAGCAGUCACCUCAAGAACGGUAGGCUACUGCACAGAGGUUGAUGGCUAAAUUACAGGCUCAGCAAAAUGUCUUUCACAGACAAACUGCAAUUCAAGAGACAACUACCAAAGCAAGUUUUAUGCUAUCAUUCAAAUUAGCAAAAGCUAGCAAACCUCUCUCUGAAGGCGAGUUUUUGAAAGAAUGUAUGAUAGAGACAGCAGGUCUCUUGUGUCCAGAGAGCAAAGGCAAGUUUGAAAAACUCAGCUAAUCGCGCAGGACAGUGACUCGUCGAGUGGAACUGAUUGAUGAAGACUUGGCCAGCAAGUUAAAUAGUAAGGCAGAGUUCUUUAAGUUUUAUUCACUAGCAUUGGAUGAAAGUAAUGACGUAAAGGACACUGCUCAGCUCUUAAUUUUUAUCCGAGGGAUUAGUGACAAUUUUGAAAUUACAGAGGAGUUUUUAGCCAUGGAGCCACUGAAAGGAAAAACACGGGGAGGACUUGUAUGACCGGGUGUCUACUGUCAUCGAGAAAAUGAAGCUACCAUGGAGUAAACUUGCUAAUGUCACGACAGAUGGAUCUCCAAAUUUAACUGGAAAAAAUGUUGGACUGCUAAAAAGAAUUCAGGAUAAAGUGAAAGAGGAGAACCCUAACCAAGAUGUUAUUUUUCUUCACUAUAUUAUUCACUAGGAAUCAUUGUGCAAGUCUAUAUUACAACUUAAUCAUGUUGUUAAUCCAGUCGUAAAGCUUGUUAAUUUCAUUCGAGCAAAGGGACUUCAGCACUGUCAGUUUAUUAAGUUUCUGGAGGAAACUGAUGCGGAUCACCAUGACUUACUUUACCACUCUCGUGUCCGC
Myotis daubentonii (Daubenton's bat) is the source of this 2615-nucleotide RNA transcript. RefSeq lists it as uncharacterized. Lineage: Eukaryota; Metazoa; Chordata; Mammalia; Chiroptera; Vespertilionidae. The record is from RefSeq and is a predicted model, not a curated record.